CGGGGAUGGAGGCGGCCAGCAGCAGCCGCCGCAGCAGGUGGAGCCGUUCGCGCUGCACAACGAGGCAUCCACCCUGUUCGCGGCGCUGCCGGCGCCGUCGCUCUCCGACAUCCUCGGCGCCUCCGCUGGCGGCGGCGACGGCGACGAGUCGCCCUCGCCGUCCGCGUCGCCGGACGGGGGUUCCGGGGGGUCGGAGUUGCCGUGCGCCCAAGAGGAGGACCUGGCG
RNAcentral lists this long non-coding RNA (226 nucleotides) under Setaria italica (foxtail millet). RNAcentral's name for it is "long non-coding RNA (SITA_LNC004376)". The record is from RNAcentral. Lineage: Eukaryota; Viridiplantae; Streptophyta; Magnoliopsida; Poales; Poaceae.